UGGGGAAUAUUGCACAAUGGGCGCAAGCCUGAUGCAGCCAUGCCGCGUGUAUGAAGAAGGCCUUCGGGUUGUAAAGUACUUUCAGCGAGGAGGAAGGCGGUAAGGUUAAUAACCUUAUCGAUUGACGUUACUCGCAGAAGAAGCACCGGCUAACUCCGUGCCAGCAGCCGCGGUAAUACGGAGGGUGCAAGCGUUAAUCGGAAUUACUGGGCGUAAAGCGCACGCAGGCGGUCUGUCAAGUCGGAUGUGAAAUCCCCGGGCUCAUCCUGGGAACUGCAUUCGAAACUGGCAGGCUAGAGUCUUGUAGAGGGGGGUAGAAUUCCAGGUGUAGCGGUGAAAUGCGUAGAGAUCUGGAGGAAUACCGGUGGCGAAGGCGGCCCCCUGGACAAAGACUGACGCUCAGUUGCGAAAGCGUGGGGAGCAAACA
Molecule: ribosomal RNA, 427 nt
Filed under: uncultured bacterium
Lineage: Bacteria
Description: partial 16S ribosomal RNA
Rfam family: Bacterial small subunit ribosomal RNA
Source: RNAcentral